This 1128-nucleotide long non-coding RNA is filed under the name Mytilus galloprovincialis (Mediterranean mussel). The record is from RNAcentral. Lineage: Eukaryota; Metazoa; Mollusca; Bivalvia; Mytilida; Mytilidae.
UUUUUCAAAUUGUCAGAAUUGUUUUCCAUUUUCCAAAGUCUUCCCUCAAGAUCAUAACUGAGUUUUAGUUGAGUUAGAAAUGCUAAAGAGGGUAUUUAAAUUUUGUGGCCCCUGGUAACCAUCUAUUUGUGUAGCAGGUCUACUUGUAGAUGCAUCAGAAGUUGAUGCACCUAUAAGAUCCAUGUGCAAACCUAUGACUACAAAUUGUAGAAAAAAUAAAUUUAAAGUGUGUAUUUUAUAUAACCAAAAUACUGCUGAAAGGUCUAAACUUACAACAUACUACAUGACAGCUUUAUCCUUGCUUUGUCAAGAAGUAAGAUAUAUAUUUAAACAAUGUUUAAUGUUGAAAAAUCCUUAAUUGUCCUUUUCUUUCUUAUUUUAUGACUUCACUUGUUCUUGAUGUAUUAAAAAGUGGUUAUAUCUAAUACCAAAUUAAUGUCUCUUUCGUUUACCCGUACCACUCUUUAACACAGAAAUGAUAAUUCUGCCUUGAGUUGCUGUCUCAUAAGCAUAAACCCAAACCUCAAUUCUAAAGGACACAUGUCUGUAGUUUGUAAUAACUGUAAGUGUGAUGAGAAGUAUACUAAUAUAUACAAAGACUAAGUACUAAACUAUUAUUUAUUCAAGAAUCUAAAACUAUUAUUUAUUCAAGAAUCUAAAAGCAUAUGCAUUUAUUUACAAUAUGGCAACUGGGGACUUAUACAACUGCAAUUAAAAACCAAUAAUGUAUAAUGUUCUUGCAAUUAAAAACCAAUAAUGUAUAAUGUUCUAUCUCCAUAUGCAAAGGGAGAUAACUCUAGCUAAAUCUUGAAACUUGGAAUUGAGAUAAUUUUUCAUAGAUUGACUAAAAAUUUUGUAUCGAAAUAGCCAAAUACAGAUGCUUGCAGCUGUAGCCCCAAGUUGAAAUAAUGAGAAGGAUAAAAAUCAAUCCACUCCUUGCUGUCAGUACAAAUUUUUAAUUCUUCAAAGUAGAGGUCAUUUGAAUUUGAGCUUGUUUAAGUACAUCUGGAGAUGUAUGAAUAUAUUUGGUAUAACAAUCUGAGGACCAUCGUCCCAAAGUUUGAAUAAGAUGAUCUUCCAGUCGUGCUUUGUGUGCAGUAGUUGCAGCACCACUUCUGAAUGAAUGAC